RNAcentral lists this ribosomal RNA (442 nucleotides) under uncultured bacterium. RNAcentral's name for it is "bacterial SSU rRNA". It matches the Rfam family "Bacterial small subunit ribosomal RNA", at positions 335 to 769 of the family's 1533-position model. The record is from RNAcentral.
ACUCCUACGGGAGGCAGCAGUGGGGAAUAUUGCACAAUGGGGGAAACCCUGAUGCAGCCAUGCCGCGUGUGUGAAGAAGGCCUUCGGGUUGUAAAGCACUUUCAGUAGGGAGGAAGGUAGUGUAGUUAACACCUGCAUUAUUUGACGUUACCUACAGAAGAAGCACCGGCUAACUCCGUGCCAGCAGCCGCGGUAAUACGGAGGGUGCGAGCGUUAAUCGGAAUUACUGGGCGUAAAGCGCAUGCAGGCGGCCUGUUAAGUCAGAUGUGAAAGCCCGGGGCUUAACCUCGGAAUUGCAUUUGAAACUGGCAGGCUAGAGUCUUGUAUAGGGGGGUAGAAUUUCAGGUGUAGCGGUGAAAUGCGUAGAGAUCUGAAGGAAUACCAGUGGCGAAGGCGGCCCCCUGGACAAAGACUGACGCUCAGAUGCGAAAGCGUGGGGAGC